Molecule: ribosomal RNA, 487 nt
Filed under: uncultured bacterium
Lineage: Bacteria
Description: bacterial SSU rRNA
Rfam family: Bacterial small subunit ribosomal RNA
Source: RNAcentral
GAUCAUGGCUCAGGGAUUGAACGCUAGCGGCAGGCCUAAUACAUGCAAGUCAAGGGGCCCAGCAAUGGGCACCGGCGACGGGUGCGUAACGCGUACACAACAUACCUUAAGUGGGGGAUAGCAUUGGGAAACUGAUGGUAAUACCCCAUAAUAAUUCAGGGAGGCAUUUCCUUUGGGAUUUUAAAAGCUCCGGCGCUUAGAGAUUGGUGUGCGUCCGAUUAGCUAGUUGGUGGGGUAACGGCUCACCAAGGCGACGAUCGGUAGGGGGUGUGAGAGCAUGACCCCCCACACGGGUACUGAGACACGGACCCGACUCCUACGGGAGGCAGCAGUAAGGAAUAUUGGACAAUGGAGGGAACUCUGAUCCAGCCAUGCCGCGUGAAGGAUGAAGGCGCUCAGCGUUGUAAACUUCUUUUGGAUGGGAACAAUAACUUCUACGUGUAGGAGCUUGAGGGUACCAUCAGAAUAAGCACCGGCUAACUCCGUG